Molecule: ribosomal RNA, 253 nt
Filed under: uncultured bacterium
Lineage: Bacteria
Description: partial 16S ribosomal RNA
Rfam family: Bacterial small subunit ribosomal RNA
Source: RNAcentral
GACAGAGGGUGCAAACGUUGCUCGGAAUUACUGGGCGUAAAGCGCGUGUAGGCGGACCACCAAGUCGGACGUGAAAGCCCUGAGCUCAACUCAGGAACUGCAUCCGAAACUGGCGGUCUGGAGUAGUGGAGAGGAAAGCAGAAUUCCUGGUGUAGAGGUGAAAUUCGUAGAUAUCAGGAGGAGCACCGGUGGCGAAGGCGGCUUUCUGGACACUUACUGACGCUGAGACGCGAAAGCGUGGGGAGCAAACAGG